CCAACCAUAGCUUUCCUAAGCUCCUUUGUGAUCCCAAAUAACCUUCCUUGUUUUCUAUGUUUUUCUCCAGCCUUGACUCCAGUCCGGUUUUGGUUCAGUUGAGUCCUCGUUUGUGCUGAUCUCCUCGUCUCAAGUUCUAAGUGAAGUUCCUGGAUUCCAUUUCCAGCUGGAGGCUGCUAAAACCUUCUCCUUUCUGGCUCAAGAGCCUAGCGAACCCUGUCCGCCCUCCGACGUAUUUGACUCCGAGCCCGGCACUUGUACUCGUCAUUCAGAUCUAGUGGAAUACCACUUCAAGCAGGCUCAGAAUUCAUCCAUCCGGCCCCGCUUUGUCUCCCUCUCACGCAAAGCUCCAUCCAUCCACCCAGUAAGUUAGAAAGAGUUCAUCAAGAAAAUUUUAUUAUUGUUUCCCAUCACUUAACAAGCCUUCUCUCCACACAGUGGGUGCAAUCCAGUACCUGUUCUCAUAUCGAUUCAUCAAAAUAAACUCUUUAACAUGUUCUCUGUCUCCUGAGUGUUCUCUGCAUGUGGGUCAAGUCAAUAAACAAAAAGACGACAGAACACUCAGGCCAAAUUGACCCAGCAGAGACUCUCAGGAGAACAAUUUCAGAACACAGCCACCAGAUCCAGUCUCACAAAUCCACCCUCCGAGCUAUGUUUGAGCAACAGAAACAAACAAACCUCCAGCUGGAACAAAUGGCUUCUCUCCUACAGCAAACCCAGCUUUCCAAGACUUCCACUGCAUCAGGGGGCACUGUAGGACCCCCCGUGUCACAAAAAUGUCCCUGGGACGUGACAUAACUCCUCCUGACCCAGAGAAGUUUUCUGUAGAGGUUCUUGUUCUCUCUCUUCAGGGUUUCCAGGUGGCCCAGAGCUUCUGCAUAGGAGUUUUUCAUUUUGAGCAUCUCUGUGUUCAAAGCACGCGCCUCCUUCAGAGCUCCUUCCAGCUCGACCUGACUCUCUUCAUACCUGAACCCCAUAGAGAAUCUGUGGGAUAUUGUGAAGAGAACGUUGAGAGACUCAAGACCCAACACUCUGGAUGAGC
Girardinichthys multiradiatus is the source of this 1042-nucleotide long non-coding RNA. RefSeq lists it as uncharacterized. The record is from RefSeq and is a predicted model, not a curated record. Lineage: Eukaryota; Metazoa; Chordata; Actinopteri; Cyprinodontiformes; Goodeidae. The transcript has 3 exons.